RNAcentral lists this ribosomal RNA (492 nucleotides) under uncultured bacterium. Its description in RNAcentral is "partial 16S ribosomal RNA". It matches the Rfam family "Bacterial small subunit ribosomal RNA", at positions 28 to 507 of the family's 1533-position model. The record is from RNAcentral.
GAUGAACGCUAGCUACAGGCUUAACACAUGCAAGUCGAGGGGAAACGGCAUUAUUUGCUCGCACUUUUUCGACGUCGACCGGCGUACGGGCGAGUAACGUGUCUCCAACCUUCGCAUGACUAAGGGAUAACCUGCCGAAUGCCACACUAAUACUUUAUGGUCUUCACUGACGGCAUCAGAUGUGAAGCAAUGAUUUAUCGGUAAUGGAUGGGGAUGCGUCUGAUUAGCUGGGUGGUGAGGUAACGGCCCACCAAGGCAACGUUGAGUAGGGGUUCUGAGAGGAAGGUCCCCCACAAUGGAGCUGAGGCACAGUCCAAACUCCUACGGGAGAGAGGAGUGAGGAAUAUUAGGCACGGAGCGAGAGCCUGAACCAGCCGAGUAGCGUGCAAGAGUACGGCGAUAGGGGUUGUAAACUGCUUUUGAGUAGGGAUAGUGUCAAUAACGCGUGAUUGUUUGCAGGUACCAUAAGAAUAAGGACCGGCUAAUUCCGUG